Molecule: ribosomal RNA, 133 nt
Filed under: Aphandra natalia
Lineage: Eukaryota; Viridiplantae; Streptophyta; Magnoliopsida; Arecales; Arecaceae
Description: partial 5.8S ribosomal RNA
Rfam family: 5.8S ribosomal RNA
About the family: 5.8S ribosomal RNA (5.8S rRNA) is a component of the large subunit of the eukaryotic ribosome. It is transcribed by RNA polymerase I as part of the 45S precursor that also contains 18S and 28S rRNA.
Source: RNAcentral
UUGCAUCGAUGAAGAACGUAGCGAAAUGCGAUACCUGGUGUGAAUUGCAGAAUCCCGCGAACCGUCGAGUCUUUGAACGCAAGUUGCGCCCGAGGCCGCCCGCGCCGAGGGCACGCCUGCCUGGGCGUCACGC